This 8752-nucleotide long non-coding RNA is filed under the name Homo sapiens (human). RNAcentral's name for it is "non-protein coding HORMAD2-AS1:12". Lineage: Eukaryota; Metazoa; Chordata; Mammalia; Primates; Hominidae. The record is from RNAcentral.
AGCAGCCGCCUCUCAGCCACGGGCUGCACACUGACCCGACGCGACCUUCGGUCAGGGGCCGCCAGCCUGGGCCACCUAUACAACGACAGCCUGCUCCGGGGCUUCCUGAGGAGGUGCCUGCCCCGCCGAGGUUCAACAGCUUUGGAGAGCAGGACAUCUUUUCCUCUCAGCCUGGCCCUCUGCAAUGGAGGCCAUAAAUAGGCCAGUAGUGGAAGCUACAGAACACGUGAGCAUGGCAGGGGCUGAGCUCCAUUUCAAGGCUUGUAAGGACCCUUGUGAUGACAUUGGUCCUACCCAGACUACCUAGGAUAAUCUCCCAUCUCAAAGUCCUCAUCUUAAUCCCAUCUGCAAGGUCCCUUUUGCAAUUUAAGAUAACAUAUUCAACAGGUUCCGGGAAUGAGAACAUGGAUGUCUUUGGAGAGCCAUUAUUCUGCCUACCACAGAUAUAACCUGGCUGUUACCACCAAGGGUUGGAAUGAGGAUCAUUCUGGGACUGCUGCAAGAGGCUGGAAACUGGAACCAAGUGCUACCUUCAUGGUAAGAAGCCAAUGCUGGAACAACACUGACUGAAGCAUCAAGCAAAACAGGAAGGAGCAACUCCUUCUACCCUCCUCCUGGCUUCGAGUCUCUCUCUAGCUCCCCUUGUUGGCGGGACCUAUCAGAAGGCCAGCUGGCUAAGGAGGACUAUAGUUUCAGUUUCAGUUCCAGCAUCCCAGACCUGAAUAUAGAAGGGCAGGUUGGAAGCCGAGAGACAGUAGCUUAGUAACUGACAAAGAUGCCACUAAAAAAUUCAGUUUAAACAAGUGACAGCCUGGGAUUAUAUUACAUUUAAUAAAAAGUUCAAAGCUCCAAUAUAUAAUGGCUUUUAUAAACCAGUAAGAAAAAGCAACCCAAUAAAAGUGGGCAGAUAAGAAUGAAAAAUUCACGGGUACUGUCCCGUCCUGUCCGGUCCCAUCCCGCCGCCGUGUCUGCCAGCCAUGAGCUCCACGCAGUUCAACAAGGGCCCCUCAUAUGGGCUGUGGGCUGAGGUCAAGAACCAGCUUCUGUCCAAAUAUGACCCCCAGAAGGAGGCAGAGCUCCACAGCUGGAUCAAGGGACUCACAGGACUCUUCAUCGGUCCCGACUUCCAGAAGGGCCUGAAGGACGGGAUUAUCUUAUGCGCACUCAUGAACAAGCUACAGCCAGGCUCAGUCCCCAAGAUCAAUCACUCCAUGCAGAACUGGCACCAGCUAGAAAACCUCUCCAACUUCAUCAAGGCCAUGGUCAGCUACGGAUGAACCCCAUGGACCUGUUCGAGGCCAACGACCUGUUUGAGAGUAGAAGUAUGACACAGCUGCAGGUGUCUCUUCUCGCCCUGGUGAGGAAGGCCAAGACUAAGGAGCUGCAGAGCAGGGUGGACACUGGCAUCAAGUACUUGGAGAAGCAGGAGUGGAACUGUGACAACCCCCCUUGAAGGCUGGCCAGUGCAUCCUCGGGCUGCAGAUGGGCACCAACAAAUGCGCCAGCCAGUCAGGGAUGACCGCAUACGGCAUGAGGAGGCAUUUCUACGACCCCAACAACUACAUCCUGCCCCCCAUGGACCACUCCAUCAUCAGUGUCCAGAUGCGUAUAAACAAGUGUGUCAGCCAGGUGGCCAUGACGGCUCCUGGGACGCAGCGGCACAUCUCUGACACCAAGCUGGGAACCGACAAGUGUGGUAACUCCUCCAUAUCCCUGCAGAUGGGUUAGACAUAGGACACCAACCAGAGUAGCCAGGUCUUGGCCUGGGCCAGCAGAUAUACGACCCCAAGUACUGCCCGCAAGGCACAGUGGGGGCUCCCUCAGGCGCCGGCGACUGCCUGGGCCCCGGGGAGGUCCCUGAAUAUCCCCCUUACUACCAGGAGGAAGCUGACUAUGAAGUCUGCCAGCAUGCUCUCUCCCCACAUCAUCUCCCCGUCUGGGUUUUUGGGUUUUUCUGUGUUUUCAUGUCUUUUUCCUCUUAACCUGUUCAGUGCUGCCAAUCAACCGAGGGUCUGUGAGUGGCAGCAUGGGAUCAGGCAGCAGGGCUUCUUUCCCCUUUGCCUUGGUCCUUCGCAGGACUGAGCCACCAGGCUGUGGGGGAAGGAGUCAAGGCCAUAUCCCGCUAAGUGUAGGGUGAGGGUCCCUGUUGGCAUGUCCAGGCUGUGGGCCAAGCUGUGCUGGGGAGAAGAGACCUGGGCUUGGAGGGAACUGGUCCCCGAAGGUUUCCAGUUGCCUCUCCUUUUCUCCCUUUUGUCAGCUGAUCAGUUUGUGGUUUCUGUACCUGCUAAAGCUUCAGGAAGUAUUAACAAAAGAAAAAUACAUUUUUUUUUUUUCCGAGGAAUGGGGCAGGGACAGUGGAGAGGGUGCUGGGAAAUAAGUCCCUUGGGAAAGGGGGCCUGGCCACGAUACUAAAUAUCUCAGGCUCCCAAGUGGCUGGAUUUCCCUAGGACCCUCAGACCAACAGACCUCAGACCCUCAGACCUGCCCCAGGGCUCGGUGGGGAAAGUGAGGCCUGUACAAGGAAGUGGAAUUCUGAGUUGUUAGGGCUAAGCCUGACCCCCUCUCUAUGCUAACUCCCCACACUGUGACCUCAGUAGGUUUUGUUGUUGUUGUUGCCCAGCCUGGAGUGCAGUGGCGUGCUCACAGCACCUCCACCUCCUGGGCUCAAGGGAUUCUCCUGCCUCAGCCUCCCAAGUAGCUGGGACUGCAGGUGCUCCACCACACCUGGCUAAAUUUUGUAUUUUUAGUAGAGACAGGGUUUCACCAUGUUGGCCAGGCUGGUCUCAAACUCCUGGCCUCAGGUGAUCUGCCUGCUGCAGCCUCCCCAAGUGCUGGGAAUACAGGCAUGAGCCACUGCGCCUGACCUCUCAGUAGGUUUUAAAGAGCCCCCAGCCCUCCUUCUCCCUUUCUUGGCCUGACCAGCUAUACUGCUCCAUCUCCCCUGGCCACAUGCCCCACCAAGUACUGCACAGGGACCCACACCCAGGGGCCCUGCUCCAUGAGAUAAUGUGAAAUACGACUGUGGACCAAAUGCAAUAAAACAUCUGUUUGUAAGAAGAGAAAAAAAAGAAAAAAGAAAAAUUCACAAUGGCCAAUAAACAUAUGAAAAUAUUCUUAAUCCCAUUAGUGAGCAGGGAAAUGCCUUAGGGCCUAGACGCAGGAGAAGGAGGUCAUUCUUUUUGUUUAGAAGAUAAUCCCGAUCCUUCAUUUUGGCACAGCUGAAACACAAAUUGGCACACCAAGAAUUAAUGGAUCAAUGAAGAGCAAGAGUUCUCCAGGUAGGAAAUAAGAAGACUGGAACAUGAGCAUACAAACCAUGCUAAAGGAAGAGCCUUCUUGGGCAAUGUCUAUAUAUGUGGAAUUAAAUCUUCAGAAGAACAGUCCAUGCAGUGUCUGCUCAUUGCAGAGCUCUCAGUUCAGAAACAAUAGCCACUUUCGAGAGCACUACUGGAGAGGUAGCUCAGCCCACUCUUGAGAACCCCAGGCCAGUCCCAUUUCCCACAAGCCAGCUGUAAUAAGGAGUAAAUCUGGGGUGUGGGGUAUUGAGUAGGGCACAGGGCCAGGAAAAACAAGUUAGAGAGUCUCUAGGCACCGGUGAGUCAUGUUGAUCAUAUGAUAGAUCAAUUCAAAUGAGGUAAUAAAUGACUAAAGUGCACUUCUAGGCUAGCACAUAGUUGUGGCAAGAGGAGUUUGUCUUCUUUUUUCUUAUUCCCAAACCAGCACGAUUUGUCUUCAGUGACCCUUACAGCAUUCUUUGUGCUGACAAUGAGUGGGUCAGCUUGGUCUUUUCUGGAGGAUAGACGAAGAGCUAAAAGUAUCCAAAAGAAACCAGAUAACAAAAACCUGAAGCCUGAAGACAUUUUUCUUGUGUGUCAAAGUCCUAAUUUUAGACCCAGUUGAAGGCUCAUUAUCCAACAUAUUACAGUAUGGAAUUGUACCUCUGCUGCAUCUAGAAGGAACUGUCCAUCACCAGAAAGAAAACAGCCUGCUCAGUCGAUCUUCAACAUUCAUGGAUUCCGGUGAUGGCAAAAGUGAUUCCUGACUUUCACAGUCAGUUGCUUUUUGAUCUCUCUUUCGAGUCACCCUCAGAGGAUACCUGGGUACCCAUUUCUCUUCCUGGUUACUCUCCUCUUUCUCCAUCCACUACCCACCCCACCCCUGCCCUGAGUCCUCGUUCCAGUCUUGACUGUAGUAACAGUCCUGGGCCUUCUCCUAAAUACAGCAUAAACCAGACCAACAAACCUUUCUCUUGAGGGUUCUGAUAGUCCCCAGCCAUCCUUCCAUGACUUAUGCUAAGCAGCUCUCUCUCUCUCUGGGUAAAAAGGGCAAGGAACAAAAGGAUUCUGUGAAACAGGAAAUCCUUUUCUUCCACAAAGUCAAACCAGAUAUUAGACUUUUGGGUUGGACAUAAGUUUAUUUGCAUGUUUGUCUGCUGCUAUGCUUUUAUGCUUCAGAAGCUAGGCUGAGAUUACAGGUUGAAUGUCCCUUAUCCAAAAUGCUGGGACCAGAAGUGUUUUGGAUUUUUUAUUUUUUCGGAUUUUGGAAUAUUUGCAUUAUCCUUAAUAGUUCAGCAUCCCUAAUCUGAAAAUCUGAAAUCCAAAAUGCUCCAGUGAACAUUUCCUUUGAGCAUGUCAGUUCUCAAAACGUUUCAGAUUCUGGAUUGGGGAUGCCGAACCUGCAAUAAAUUGCUCCUCCCUUCGUCUCCCCACGGGUUCUAUAUUGUAUUUAAGCUGCCCUCCCUCCCUUCCUGUAACUGUGAGUGCCAAAGCAACUCAGAUGUGCCUCCACUCUAAGCUAUAAAGAAAUAAUUAGCCACAGUUAAUGGCCCAUAAUUUGUUAUUUCUGUAUCCUGUUCCUCAGGGUUCCCUCCUAAAUUAUUAUCAGGAAGAAACAUAAAACUACACAUAAAACUGUAUUUCAUAGAAACAAAAAAAAUUGAGCUCCUUUUUUUGCUUUGUCUCCCUGUGAUUUGAAGAAGUUGGACUUCCUAGAUGGAAAUGAGGUUCACUGCCACGGAUGGGAAAGGCUGCCGCACGUUGGUUUGCCUCAUUAUGUUGCAGACAUACAUACAGGACCGACUAUAUAAUUUGUGGGAGGGACCUAGUGAAAAAUGAAAGUGUGGGGUCCUUUGUUUAAUGUUAGUAAUUUCAAGACUGCAACAGAGGAGCAUUAAACGGAAGGUGGGCCCUUCUGAGUGUGGGGUCGUGUGUAACUGCAGAGGCUGCACACCUAUGAAGCCAGCUCUGCACACAGAGAAUGGUCUCAGGACUAGAAAGACCAAGGGAACUCCACCCUGAGAAGGUCAGGAGAAAGCACGGGUGAGGUGGUGAAUGGUGUGGCCAAGGACAGUGUCGUCUAGGUGGUUCUCUGAAAUGCAAUCUGCUUGGCACUGGAUAUUGGAGGGCCCAAGGAUCAGAGGUACACGUAUACAUGAGGACGCUGGAAGGAAGCAGGGCGAAGGGUGUGAGAAUGCUGAGAUUGAAGGAGGGGUGGCACAGAGCGGGAGUUCUAGGCAUGGAAUCAUCUUGUUUUGUUUUCAAUCAACCCAUUUCUUUCUUUUUUUUUUUUUUAACUGAAGUAGAAUGUAUCAAAUUUAGAUGAAUGACCUUUUUCCCUCCAAAUCUGCUCUUCCCGUUUCUUCAUCUUGGUGAAUGUGAAUCAGUCCUCCUAGUUGAUCAAGGCCGAAGCUGCGAGUUGUCUCUGACUGAUCCCCCCCUAAGUCCAUAGAACAUCAAUUCUAUCAUUAGUACCUCUCUUGAGCCCACACAUCUACUUGUUCCAUAACCAGUGAAACCACCGUCAUUCCUGACCAUGACUGUGGUAGCAGCCUCCUUGCUUACAGCUUCUGAAUCAUCUAGACUGGAGUUUUAAGUCCUCAUUCUGCCACAAGUUAGCUGAGUGAGCUUGGGCUGGGCUCUUUAACCCCUCUGUGCCUCAGUUUCCACAUCUGUAAAAUGGGAAUAAUAAUACCUAUCAUAAAGCAUGGUUGUCAGGGCUAAAGGAAAUGAAGACGUGGCUGAGUGUCUUCCCUCUUGUUCCCUCUCCAUCCCUCAGGCCUUCAGUGAAACAUUCCUUCCCUUGUCUGACUUGCUCAGUGCAGGUUCCCACAGGCUGCCAACCUGCUCUGCAGCCCUCAUCACACUUCCCUGUCUUCUCUCAGCACUCCUCUCCAUAAGGACAAGGAUCCUGGUUUCCAUGGCCAAUGUCCAUCUGACACGGAGUAAGAGUUCACCUUGCUAUGUGACUGAUAUUCUCACAUAGAAUCAAACAUUCCCAGGCAUGACUCCCUGUAAGCUUUCCCCUAACUGUAAGUGAGCAGGUGACCAUGUGACAGAAACAAAUGACGAAGACCAAGACUAUCCCACCAGAUAUUAAAUUAAACCUGGGGCACUGGAAUGGCUCAUUAGAGCAGAUCCCUCUGUAAGAAACAGACCUAGGUCAGGUAAGGCCACCCAAGGAAGCCAGGAAACUGGGUGCUCCAGGUCAACACAGCCAAACUCCGCAGAGAACACAGUGGGGCUGGGGCUGGGAUGUGACAACCUGGGACAGGGAGACACCCCAGAGGAAGGAAUAAAGGUGGGACCUCUGAGUGGUGGGCCAUCCCUUUGUCCUCAGGCCCUGGAAGCUCCCCAUCCAAUGCUCCCCACUGAGGCCAACAGGGUAAGAGGUGUGCACACUAGGGGGCUUGUGCCCUGAGCCGGUCAAGGCAGAGUGGGGGGAUGGGGUGCUAGGGUUUUUUUUUUUUCUUCAUGAAAUAACAUAUAUGUAGGAAAGCACAGCAAACAUAUCUGUAGGGGUUGCUGAAUUAUAAACCCACUACUCCAAUCAAGACCUGGAGAUCCCUAGCACUCUAGAUCCUCCCCAACCUGUUCUCUACAUCCUCCUAGAGACCACCGGGACCUCGGCUUUUGUAGUUACCAUGUUCUCGCACCCCCAAAGAAUAGUUUUGUUUUGCCUGGUUUUGAACUUCUCAAAAAUGGAAUCAUACUGCAUAUAUUUUAUUCUUUUUUCCACUCAAUAUUCUGUGAGAUUUGUCCAUGUGGCUGUAUGUAACGACUUUGAUUCGUUGCCAUGUUAUGUUUGUGGCUAACUUUCACAAGUUCCUUAUUCCUUGCCCUGUGGUUGGACAGUUGUGCUGUUUCUGGCUUGUGCAUUUUCCACGACUUAGUGUGAGACUUCUUCUGGAUGGCUUGCAGGGGAGUGGGAGUCUGGGCUGGAAGGGAAGGUGAGGGAAGCAACAGAAGCAGCCCUGGGCAUGGGGGGCGCAGAAGGUGGGAGGGAUCUGUGGGUCAAGCAGGACUACUGAAGUGCAGAGCAGGGUUGAGGGUACCACAGAGGAAAGGGCCUCCACGUGUGCUCCUACUCUGAGACUGGACGGGAACACUCCCCGCAAGGCCAUAAUCGGGGGGUUUAGUAGGUAUGGGCACAGCAAGAGAGGCCAGACAAGGCAGCUUAUUGCACAAUGCUGCCCUUGGGGCUCAGAGGAAAUACUAGAAAUUGACCAGAGAGUCAACCUCUGGUGCCGCUCCUUUCCUAGGAUGGGCAUCCAUCAAGAGGUUUGUAUUUGGGAAGUUCAGGGAUCACUGGCUGCACAUCCAGACACUGGCCCACAUGGAGGUAAGGCGGCUGAAGCCCUGAAGGAAGGGGCUCUGCACUGCUGACCACUUGCCUAGACCUCGCCUGUGCUGGAAGCAAGGCCACCCAUGGAGCCCAUCUCUCGGAGACUUCAGCAGCCCAGGGCAGAGCUUCCUAUCCUUGCCAGAAAACCUGUCCCUGGCAUCACCCCAACCCCGGUAUUUCUUGUUGGGGACUGUCCUGGCUGGAGAUGGCCUAGAGUCCUUCCCACACCCUGAGAGACCUGACAUAUUUCCCUAUUCUCUUGGGUUUGGCAGAUAUGGGUAAGAGGAGGGAUGCUGUUGCCUUGGAGCUGCCAGGCUGCAUGGCAGACAAGCAGGAUUCCUGCUGCCUCCCAUGGAGACUAUACUGGAACGCAGGUAAGGUGCUGGGAAUCAGUCACAGAUGUUCAAGUGCAAGCUUUGGCAGAACCAUUCUUUCCACUGUAGAUCAGCCAGACUUUGUAAAACAUGAUCUAUUUCCUCACUGGAUCCUCAACAGUCCCAUGGGCAGACUGGACAAAUAUCCCCAUAGGUGAGAAAUUAAAGCAGAGUAGAGUGGUCAACCCCCUACCCUGUAAGUGACUGGGGGCUAGAAUACAGGUCUCACAACACUGGGUCAGGGCUUUGUCUGCUGUGCACAAGCAGGCACUUGCCUAGGCAGAUACUGAGCUCUAGCUUCAUCAUUUCAUGUUUGAUUUUCUAUAGUGUAAUCAAUCAUAGGAUCAUUAGCCCCCCUGGUGUCUGCUGCAAAUUUAUCUUAAAUGCCAAUUUGUCCCUGCAUUAGAAGGGAAGCUGUUUAGUUGAGGGAGCUCUUCCUGAGAAACGGUGAAUUUUAUGUUAUUUUUUAUUUUUUUGAGACAGAGUUUUACUCUUGUUGCCCAGGUUGGAGUGCAAUGGUGCAAUCUCUGCUCACUACAACCUCCGCUUCCCAGGUUCAAGCAAUUCUCCCGCCUCAGCCGCCCAAGUAGCUGGGACUACAGGUGCCUGCCACCAUGCCCGGCUAAUUUUUGUAUUUUUAGUAGGGAUGGGGUUUCACCAUGUUGGUCAGGCUGGUCUUGAACUCCUGACCCCAGGUGAUCCACCCACCUCAGCCUCCCAAAAUGCUGGGAUUAUAGGCAUGAGCCACCAUGCCCGGC